Labrus bergylta (ballan wrasse) is the source of this 356-nucleotide long non-coding RNA. RefSeq lists it as uncharacterized. Lineage: Eukaryota; Metazoa; Chordata; Actinopteri; Labriformes; Labridae. The record is from RefSeq and is a predicted model, not a curated record.
CUGGGUUAAGCGACGUCACUGUGAGCUGCUGUGAACGCUCAGGGGACCCUGUAGCCUACAUCACACUGCAAGAAGUGUAAGAGGCUGCCUUGUCCCUUGCCCGGAGGAAGCAUUGGUUCUUGAAGCCUGGAGGAAGCCAGACAAUGGUGGGAUGUGGGUGUCAAGUCCGCCUUAAGUGUGCCGGGUGCUGAUUGUGCUGCUGUGUCAACCCCGUGUUGUGCUCCAAACUGAUGGGGGCAGAAAAACAGGAAGCUGCCCUUCCCAUACACUGUAGGCAGCGGGGCAGGCAGCCGUCAGGUCAACAGUCUGUUGUCACUGACUGCAAAGGCGUCAGUGCCCUCUGAUCGACAGUAAAA